This 375-nucleotide ribosomal RNA is filed under the name uncultured organism. Its description in RNAcentral is "partial 16S ribosomal RNA". It matches the Rfam family "Bacterial small subunit ribosomal RNA", at positions 527 to 896 of the family's 1533-position model. The record is from RNAcentral.
GUAGGUGGCAAGCGUUGUCCGGAAUUAUUGGGCGUAAAGCGCGCGCAGGUGGUUCUUUAAGUCUGAUGUGAAAGCCCCCGGCUCAACCGGGGAGGGUCAUUGGAAACUGGGGAACUUGAGUGCAGGAGAGGAAAGUGGAAUUCCACGUGUAGCGGUGAAAUGCGUAGAUAUGUGGAGGAACACCAGUGGCGAAGGCGACUUUCUGGCCUGUAACUGACACUGAGGCGCGAAAGCGUGGGGAGCAAACAGGGAUUAGAUACCCUGGUAGUCCACGCCGUAAACGAUGAGUGCUAAGUGUUGGGGGGGGUUUCCGCCCCCGUCAGUGCUGCAGCUAACGCAUUAAGCACUCCGCCUGGGAGUACGGCCGCAAGACUG